ACACGACUGGGCGUGUAUAAAGAGACCACUAAGCUCAGUGCGUACUGCUUAUGUUACAUAACAUAGGCGGUGGCUGGU
RNAcentral lists this ribozyme (78 nucleotides) under unclassified sequences. RNAcentral describes it as "pistol ribozyme". It matches the Rfam family "Pistol ribozyme". The record is from RNAcentral.